Molecule: transfer RNA, 72 nt
Filed under: Cavia porcellus (domestic guinea pig)
Lineage: Eukaryota; Metazoa; Chordata; Mammalia; Rodentia; Caviidae
Rfam family: tRNA
About the family: Transfer RNA (tRNA) molecules are approximately 80 nucleotides in length. Their secondary structure includes four short double-helical elements and three loops (D, anti-codon, and T loops).
Source: Rfam by way of RNAcentral
AGGGACAUAGCUCAGUGGUGCAGCACCUGUCUGGCAAGCACAAGAUCUUGAGUUUAAUUCUCAAUACCCCCC